UACGUAGGGUGCAAGCGUUGUCCGGAUUUAUUGGGCGUAAAGAGCUCGUAGGCGGUUUGUCGCGUCGGCUGUGAAAACCCGAGGCUCAACCUCGGGCCUGCAGUCGAUACGGGCAAACUAGAGUACUGCAGGGGAGACUGGAAUUCCUGGUGUAGCGGUGAAAUGCGCAGAUAUCAGGAGGAACACCGGUGGCGAAGGCGGGUCUCUGGGCAGUAACUGACGCUGAGGAGCGAAAGCGUGGGGAGCGAACAGG
RNAcentral lists this ribosomal RNA (253 nucleotides) under uncultured bacterium. RNAcentral describes it as "partial 16S ribosomal RNA". It matches the Rfam family "Bacterial small subunit ribosomal RNA", at positions 524 to 776 of the family's 1533-position model. The record is from RNAcentral.